This 373-nucleotide ribosomal RNA is filed under the name uncultured bacterium. Its description in RNAcentral is "bacterial SSU rRNA". It matches the Rfam family "Bacterial small subunit ribosomal RNA", at positions 524 to 898 of the family's 1533-position model. The record is from RNAcentral.
UACAGAGGGUGCGAGCGUUAAUCGGAUUUACUGGGCGUAAAGCGUGCGUAGGCGGCUUCUUAAGUCGGAUGUGAAAUCCCUGAGCUUACUUAGGAAUUGCAUUCGGUACUGGGAAGCUAGAGUAUGGGAGAGGAUGGUAGAAUUCCAGGUGUAGCGGUGAAAUGCGUAGAGAUCUGGAGGAAUACCGAUGGCGAAGGCAGCCAUCUGGCCUAAUACUGACGCUGAGGUACGAAAGCAUGGGGAGCAAACAGGAUUAGAUACCCUGGUAGUCCAUGCCGUAAACGAUGUCUACUAGCCGUUGGGGCCUUUGAGGCUUUAGUGGCGCAGCUAACGCGAUAAGUAGACCGCCUGGGAGUACGGUCGCAAGACUAAA